GUGGGGAAUAUUGGACAAUGGGCGCAAGCCUGAUCCAGCCAUGCCGCGUGUGUGAAGAAGGUCUUCGGAUUGUAAAGCACUUUAAGUUGGGAGGAAGGGCAGUAAGUUAAUACCUUGCUGUUUUGACGUUACCGACAGAAUAAGCACCGGCUAACUUCGUGCCAGCAGCCGCGGUAAUACGAAGGGUGCAAGCGUUAAUCGGAAUUACUGGGCGUAAAGCGCGCGUAGGUGGUUUUGUAAGUUGGAGGUGAAAUCCCCGGGCUCAACCUGGGAACUGCCUCCAAAACUGCAUGACUAGAGUACGGUAGAGGAUAGUGGAAUUUCCUGUGUAGCGGUGAAAUGCGUAGAUAUAGGAAGGAACACCAGUGGCGAAGGCGACUACCUGGACUGAUACUGACACUGAGGUGCGAAAGCGUGGGGAGCAAACAGGAUUAGAAACCCCGGUAGUCC
This 450-nucleotide ribosomal RNA is filed under the name uncultured bacterium. RNAcentral describes it as "partial 16S ribosomal RNA". It matches the Rfam family "Bacterial small subunit ribosomal RNA", at positions 354 to 796 of the family's 1533-position model. The record is from RNAcentral.